RNAcentral lists this ribosomal RNA (346 nucleotides) under uncultured bacterium. RNAcentral's name for it is "bacterial SSU rRNA". It matches the Rfam family "Bacterial small subunit ribosomal RNA", at positions 32 to 371 of the family's 1533-position model. The record is from RNAcentral.
AAUCAACGCUGGCGGCGUGCCUCAGACAUGCAAGUCGAACGAUUAAAGCUCUCUUCGGAGAGUGUAUAGAGUGGCGCACGGGUGAGUAACACGUAAGUAAUCUACCUUCGAGUGGGGAAUAACGUCCGGAAACGGACGCUAAUACCGCAUAAUGCAGCGGCAUCGCAAGAUGACAGUUGUUAAAGAUUUAUCGCUUGAAGAGGAGCUUGCGGCAGAUUAGCUUGUUGGUAAGGUAACGGCUUACCAAGGCUACGACCUGUAUCGGUCUAAGAGGACGGUCGGACACACUGACACUGAAUAACGGGUCAGACUCCUACGGGAGGCAGCAGUCGGGAAUUUUGGGCAA